GCUAAUGAUAGAGAGUAAAUGCUCUACUGUACCAAGGAAGCAGCUCUGCUCAGGGAUGCGACAGUGCCCAUCCCCCUCCACCCUCUUCAACAUCAAGUGCUAACCAGGGAAACCACGUGAACCAGCUGGCCUGGAGGUCUCGGUUUACUUAUGUUUAUUCUUUGAAUGCAUGUGGAGAAGCCGAGGCAUCAGAGGCGGAAGUUGUCCAGGGUUACACAGCUAACGAGUGACAGACCAGAACUUGAGCACGAGGAGCCUGAUUCCAGAACCUACGCUGUGGGGUUCCUUCAGCAUCCUAUGUCCUGCUACCUCUAGCAAACAGGCACUAUUACUUACUUGAGCUAUUUAAUGUUAGUAGAUUCAAAGUCUCCAGUUACAAAUUAAGAAAACUAAAACUCCCAGUUACAACCAUUAAUUCCCUUUUCUUUCUAGUUCUAGGCAAAAAUGUCUCCAAAAGCCUUUCAUUUUCUGCCUCUGUCAAGCCCCCACAGGUCUGUGUCCGGAUGGGCCAGUCUCCAGGAGCCGCCAAUGCUGAGUUUCUGUGUUGAAAAGGACAGAGGUCACAGCCCCCUCUUUCUUAAGUCCUGUCAAAGGAUUGUCAGGCUACAGAGGAAGAGGAGCUGAGUUCUCUUGAGGGGUCAGCGGGUCAACUUCCGGUCAAAAAAUAGGAGGGGCCCUGGAACAGACACUGCGGAGGGAGAAGCACGCAGGGGACACACAGACAGACAGCUUGCUUCAGUGGCAACUGGAAGUCAGUCACCAUGAAAAACCUCUGGGCCGCCACAUUGUCUGAAUCCU
This is a long non-coding RNA of Felis catus (domestic cat), 798 nucleotides long. RefSeq lists it as uncharacterized. The record is from RefSeq and is a predicted model, not a curated record. NCBI's taxonomy places the organism in Eukaryota, Metazoa, Chordata, Mammalia, Carnivora, Felidae. The transcript is spliced from 2 exons.